CGAGAAAGUUAAAAGAACUGCUA
Molecule: transfer RNA, 23 nt
Filed under: Dactylopsila trivirgata (striped possum)
Lineage: Eukaryota; Metazoa; Chordata; Mammalia; Diprotodontia; Petauridae
Description: partial tRNA-Ser
Source: RNAcentral